AUCGAUGAAGAACGCAGCGAAAUGCGAUAAGUAAUGUGAAUUGCAGAAUUCAGUGAAUCAUCGAAUCUUUGAACGCACAUUGCGCCCCUUGGUAUUCCGAGGGGCAUGCCUAUUCGAGCGUCAUUAUCACCCCUCAAGCCUCGCUUGGUGUUGGGGCCUGCCGUCAAGGCAGCCCUUAAAAUCAGUGGCAGUGCUGUCAGGCUCUAAGCGUAGUAAACACGUCGCUAUGGAGUCCUGGGAGCGCUCGCCANUCACCNCCCCACUCUUAUAAUGAUUGACCUCGGAUUAGGUAGGGAUACCCGCUGAACUUAAGCAUAUCAAUAAGCGGAGGAAAAGAAACCAACAGGGAUUGCCUCAGUAACGGCGAGUGAAGCGGCAAAAGCUCAAAUUUGAAAUCUGGCUCUUUCAGGGUCCGAGUUGUAAUUUGUAGAAGAUGUUUCGGGUGUGGCUCCGGUUUAAGUUCUUUGGAAUAUUACAUCAUAGAGGGUGAGAAUCCCGUAUGUGACCGGCAGCUUUCGCCCAUGUGAAACUCUUUCGACGAGUCGAGUUGUUUGGGAAUGCAGCUCAAAAUGGGUGGUAUAUUUCAUCUAAAGCUAAAUACUGGCCAGAGACCGAUAGCGCACAAGUAGAGUGAUCGAAAGAUGAAAAGCACUUUGGAAAGAGAGUUAAACAGUACGUGAAAUUGUUGAAAGGGAAGCGCUUGCAACCAGACUUGCACGCAGUUGAUCAUCCGGUGUUCUCACCGGGGCACUCUGCUGCGUUCAGGCCAGCAUCGGUUUCGGUGGUUGGAUAAAGGCCUUGGGAAUGUGGCUCCUCUCGGGGAGUGUUAUAGCCCUCGGUGCAAUGCAGCCUACCGGGACCGAGGACCGCGCUUCGGCUAGGAUGCUGGCGUAAUGGUUGUAAGCGGCCCGUCUUGAAACACGG
Molecule: ribosomal RNA, 924 nt
Filed under: uncultured Ascomycota
Lineage: Eukaryota; Fungi; Ascomycota
Description: eukaryotic LSU rRNA
Rfam family: Eukaryotic large subunit ribosomal RNA (bases 276-924)
Source: RNAcentral